UCAAUGAACCAAUAGCUGUUGGUGCAUCAGUUGAUGAGUCCGUGCGAGUUCGUUCAAACCGACCGGAAUACUCUCCGGAGUUUGAGCAGGCAUGGCUGGCAUAUCCCAAACGUGCUGGUGGCAAUUCAAAAUCUGCAGCCUUCAAAGCCUGGAAAGCCCGUUUGAAUGAGGGAGUAAACCCCGAAACCAUGCUGGAAGGUGUGAAACGCUACGCGGGCUGGGUAUCUGCGAUGGGUAACAGCGGCACACAAUUUGUGAAACAGGCUGUCACGUUCUUUGGUCCGGAUCGUCAUUUCGAAGAAUCCUGGGAAGUUCCUGCGGUAUCUGCAGCCAGACGUGAGGACCCGUACUUCAAAGCCAGUUACGACAACGUGGACUACAGCCAGAUCCCGGCAGGAUUCAGGGGGUGAUCAUGAGUCUUUUGAAUGAAGUUCAGAAAUUCAUUGAAGCCCAUCCGGGGUGUACUUCCGGAGACAUUGCGGAUGCUUUUGCAGGUUACUCACGGCAGCGCGUUCUGCAGUCAGCAAGCAAGUUACGUCAGAGUGGGCGUGUGGCUCACCGUUGUGAAGGAGAUACACGCAGACAUUUCCCACGCCUGACUGAGAGAGCGCAGGAGCCGGAACCACAACCAGUUCGUGAAACCAAACCUGUGCGCAAUUUCUAUGUCGGCACUAACGAUCCCCGGGUGAUUUUGUGCCUGACCCGCCAGGCUGAAGAGCUGGAGUCCAGGGGGUUAUACCGUCGUGCUGCAACGGUGUGGAUGGCGGCAUUCCGAGAAAGCCACUCCCAGCCAGAACGAAACAAUUUUCUGGCGCGUCGUGAGCAGUGCUUACGGAAAAGCAGCAAGCGAGCUGUAUCGGGUGAUGAGUGGUAUCUGUCAGGGAAUUACGUGGGGGCUUAAUGAGUAAUAAAUAUUGCCAGGAGCUGGUGGAACUGCGGAACAAACCAGCCCAUGAACUGAAGGAAGUGGGUGAUCAGUGGCGCACGCCGGACAACAUUUUCUGGGGAAUUAACACCCUGUUUGGCCCGUUUGUUCUGGAUCUGUUCACUGACGGUGAUAACGCCAAAUGUGCCGCGUAUUACACGGCGGAAGACAACGCGCUNGUUGGGUAGGGGAGCGUUCUGUAAGCCUGUGAAGGUGGCCUGUGAGGGUUGCUGGAGGUAUCAGAAGUGCGAAUGCUGACAUAAGUAACGAUAAAGCGGGUGAAAAGCCCGCUCGCCGGAAGACCAAGGGUUCCUGUCCAACGUUAAUCGGGGCAGGGUGAGUCGACCCCUAAGGCGAGGCCGAAAGGCGUAGUCGAUGGGAAACGGGUUAAUAUUCCCGUACUUGGUGUUACUGCGAAGGGGGGACGGAGAAGGCUAUGUUGGCCGGGCGACGGUUGUCCCGGUUUAAGCGUGUAGGUGUGUGUUCCAGGUAAAUCCGGUUCACUUUAACACUGAGGCGUGAUGACGAGGCACUACGGUGCUGAAGCAACAAAUGCCCUGCUUCCAGGAAAAGCCUCUAAGCAUCAGGUAACAUCAAAUCGUACCCCAAACCGACACAGGUGGUCAGGUAGAGAAUACCAAGGCGCUUGAGAGAACUCGGGUGAAGGAACUAGGCAAAAUGGUGCCGUAACUUCGGGAGAAGGCACGCUGACAUGUAGGUGAAGUGAUUUACUCAUGGAGCUGAAGUCAGUCGAAGAUACCAGCUGGCUGCAACUGUUUAUUAAAAACACAGCACUGUGCAAACACGAAAGUGGACGUAUACGGUGUGACGCCUGCCCGGUGCCGGAAGGUUAAUUGAUGGGGUCAGCGCAAGCGAAGCUCCUGAUCGAAGCCCCGGUAAACGGCGGCCGUAACUAUAACGGUCCUAAGGUAGCGAAAUUCCUUGUCGGGUAAGUUCCGACCUGCACGAAUGGCGUAAUGAUGGCCAGGCUGUCUCCACCCGAGACUCAGUGAAAUUGAACUCGCUGUGAAGAUGCAGUGUACCCGCGGCAAGACGGAAAGACCCCGUGAACCUUUACUAUAGCUUGACACUGAACAUUGAGCCUUGAUGUGUAGGAUAGGUGGGAGGCUUUGAAGCGUGGACGCCAGUCUGCAUGGAGCCGGCCUUGAAAUACCACCCUUUAAUGUUUGAUGUUCUAACGUGGACCCGUGAUCCGGGUUGCGGACAGUGUCUGGUGGGUAGUUUGACUGGGGCGGUCUCCUCCUAAAGAGUAACGGAGGAGCACGAAGGUUGGCUAAUCCUGGUCGGACAUCAGGAGGUUAGUGCAAUGGCAUAAGCCAGCUUGACUGCGAGCGUGACGGCGCGAGCAGGUGCGAAAGCAGGUCAUAGUGAUCCGGUGGUUCUGAAUGGAAGGGCCAUCGCUCAACGGAUAAAAGGUACUCCGGGGAUAACAGGCUGAUACCGCCCAAGAGUUCAUAUCGACGGCGGUGUUUGGCACCUCGAUGUCGGCUCAUCACAUCCUGGGGCUGAAGUAGGUCCCAAGGGUAUGGCUGUUCGCCAUUUAAAGUGGUACGCGAGCUGGGUUUAGAACGUCGUGAGACAGUUCGGUCCCUAUCUGCCGUGGGCGCUGGAGAACUGAGGGGGGCUGCUCCUAGUACGAGAGGACCGGAGUGGACGCAUCACUGGUGUUCGGGUUGUCAUGCCAAUGGCACUGCCCGGUAGCUAAAUGCGGAAGAGAUAAGUGCUGAAAGCAUCUAAGCACGAAACUUGCCCCGAGAUGAGUUCUCCCUGAGACUUAAAGUCUCCUGAAGGAACGUUGAAGACGACGACGUUGAUAGGCCGGGUGUGUAAGCGCAGCGAUGCGUUGAGCUAACCGGUACUAAUGAACCGUGAGGCUUAACC
Molecule: ribosomal RNA, 2827 nt
Filed under: Salmonella enterica subsp. enterica serovar Derby
Lineage: Bacteria; Pseudomonadati; Pseudomonadota; Gammaproteobacteria; Enterobacterales; Enterobacteriaceae
Description: bacterial LSU rRNA
Rfam family: Bacterial large subunit ribosomal RNA (bases 969-2827)
Source: RNAcentral